GGAAAGAUGUCCGAGUGGUCGAAGGUGUCAGACUCGAAAUCUGAUGUAGUCUCAUAGGCUACCGAGGGUUCGAAUCCCUCUCUUUCCG
RNAcentral lists this transfer RNA (88 nucleotides) under Spirochaetaceae bacterium. RNAcentral describes it as "tRNA-Ser". It matches the Rfam family "tRNA". Rfam says of the family: Transfer RNA (tRNA) molecules are approximately 80 nucleotides in length. Their secondary structure includes four short double-helical elements and three loops (D, anti-codon, and T loops). Further hydrogen bonds mediate the characteristic L-shaped molecular structure. tRNAs have two regions of fundamental functional importance: the anti-codon, which is responsible for specific mRNA codon recognition, and the 3' end, to which the tRNAs corresponding amino acid is attached (by aminoacyl-tRNA synthetases). tRNAs cope with the degeneracy of the genetic code in two manners: having more than one tRNA (with a specific anti-codon) for a particular amino acid; and 'wobble' base-pairing, i.e. permitting non-standard base-pairing at the 3rd anti-codon position. RNAcentral also lists the same sequence under 1 other name. The record is from RNAcentral. Lineage: Bacteria; Pseudomonadati; Spirochaetota; Spirochaetia; Spirochaetales; Spirochaetaceae.